RNAcentral lists this ribosomal RNA (254 nucleotides) under uncultured bacterium. RNAcentral's name for it is "partial 16S ribosomal RNA". It matches the Rfam family "Bacterial small subunit ribosomal RNA", at positions 524 to 776 of the family's 1533-position model. The record is from RNAcentral.
UACGGGGGGGGGCAAGCGUUGUUCGGAAUUACUGGGCGUAAAGGGCGCGUAGGCGGCCUUCUAAGUCGAACGUGAAAUCCCUGGGCUCAACCCAGGAACUGCGUCCGAUACUGGAAGGCUUGAAUCCGGGAGAGGGAUGCGGAAUUCCAGGUGUAGCGGUGAAAUGCGUAGAUAUCUGGAGGAACACCGGUGGCGAAGGCGGCAUCCUGGACCGGCAUUGACGCUGAGGCGCGAAAGCCAGGGGAGCAAACGGG